RNAcentral lists this ribosomal RNA (2552 nucleotides) under Quasispermophorella ingwa. RNAcentral describes it as "SSU rRNA". It matches the Rfam family "Eukaryotic small subunit ribosomal RNA". Lineage: Eukaryota; Metazoa; Arthropoda; Insecta; Neuroptera; Berothidae. The record is from RNAcentral.
GUUGAUCCUGCCAGUAGUCAUAUGCUUGUCUCAAAGAUUAAGCCAUGCAUGUCUCAGUACAAGCCAAAUUAAGGUGAAACCGCGAAAGGCUCAUUAUAUCAGUUAUGGUUCCUUAGAUCGUACCCACAUUUACUUGGAUAACUGUGGUAAUUCUAGAGCUAAUACAUGCAAACAGAGUUCCAACCAGAGAUGGAAGGAAUGCUUUUAUUAGAUCAAAACCAAUCGAUGUUGUCAUAUUUGUAUAUUGGUUUUCCAAUAUAUUUGAUAUGGUGCAUCGUUCUAUUUGGUGACUCUGAAUAACUUUAAGCUGAUCGCACGGUCUCGUACCGGCGACGCAUCUUUCAAAUGUCUGCCUUAUCAACUGUCGAUGGUAGGUUCUGCGCCUACCAUGGUUGUAACGGGUAACGGGGAAUCAGGGUUCGAUUCCGGAGAGGGAGCCUGAGAAACGGCUACCACAUCCAAGGAAGGCAGCAGGCGCGCAAAUUACCCACUCCCGGCACGGGGAGGUAGUGACGAAAAAUAACGAUACGGGACUCAUCCGAGGCCCCGUAAUCGGAAUGAGUACACUUUAAAUCCUUUAACGAGGAUCCAUUAGAGGGCAAGUCUGGUGCCAGCAGCCGCGGUAUUUCCAGCUCUAAUAGCGUAUAUUAAAGUUGUUGCGGUUAAAAAGCUCGUAGUCGAAUCUGUGUCUUACACUGUCGGUUCACCGCUCGCGGUGUUCAACUGGCAUGUUAUGUGAGACGUCCUACCGGUGGGUGGUGUAAAUUAUUGUUAUUAUUUUUGCCCACUGUAUAUUGUUGGAUAUGCACCAAUGCCAGUUAUAUAUUUAUCUUGGAUUGUUAUGUAUGUUAAUAUGCUUUUCAGUAUCGGCUUUGCACAUCAAAAGGUGACAGUGUUCAAAAUUUAUAUAUCCAUUUCUCUUUUCGGAUCUCUAUAUAUUGAAAUUUUUUUUUUGAUAUAUUUGGGAUUUGAUUGAGUUUUUUGGUUUAUUUAUUUUGCCUGUCGCUGUGUUUAAAGUGACAAGAUUUGAUAAUGGCAUAUACAUAUUAUAUUCAGUCCGUUUAUAUGGGAUGAUAUAUUGACUGCUUGGAUUAAAAAUGUAUAUUUUUACGUAUAUAUAGUGUUCUGGUUGGAUAAUUAACAUAAAAAUAAUUUGCCGUAAGUGUUUAGCCGUGAAGAACGGCGACAGCCCCCAAUUGCAAUCCUGUCGCGGUGCUCUUAAUUGAGUGUCGAGGUGGGCCGGUACGUUUACUUUGAACAAAUUAGAGUGCUUAAGGCAGGUUAAAAUUUCGCCUGAAUAUUGUGUGCAUGGAAUAAUGGAAUAGGACCUCGGUUCUAUUUUGUUGGUUUUCGGAACUCCGAGGUAAUGAUUAAUACGGACAGAUGGGGGCAUUCGUAUUGCGACGUUAGAGGUGAAAUUCUUGGAUCGUCGCAAGACGGACAGAAGCGAAAGCAUUUGCCAAAAAUGUUUUGAUUGAUCAAGAACGAAAGUUAGAGGUUCGAAGGCGAUCAGAUACCGCCCUAGUUCUAACCAUAAACGAUGCCAGCUAGCGAUCCGCCGAAGUUCUUCCGAUGACUCGGCGGGCAGCUUCCGGGAAACCAAAGCUUUUGGGUUCCGGGGGAAGUAUGGUUGCAAAGCUGAAACUUAAAGGAAUUGACGGAAGGGCACCACCAGGAGUGGAGCCUGCGGCUUAAUUUGACUCAACACGGGAAACCUCACCAGGCCCGGACACCGGAAGGAUUGACAGAUUGAGAGCUCUUUCUUGAUUCGGUGGGUGGUGGUGCAUGGCCGUUCUUAGUUGGUGGAGCGAUUUGUCUGGUUAAUUCCGAUAACGAACGAGACUGUAGCCUGCUAAAUAGACGUACCUUACUGGCAUCUCAAGGCCCAUCGGCUGUAAUGUAUCGUUACGUUUGUUGCUUACUUUUAAAUAAAUUUUACUCUUAUUAUUGUAUGGGCCUCUCUAUUUUACAUAUUCGCUAUAUAUGUAUAUGCAUAUAUGUUUCUGAUGUAUAUGUGUGUGCGUGUGUCGCGGUGUGUAUUUAUAGGGAUGUGUUUUAUAUGAUGAUAGGGUAUUUUCUAUUGGGGUUUGUUAACACGUGCGGUGUACAGUUUUUUGAUGUGGUUUUUACUGCCGGCGUACAUAUUAAUCUUCUUAGAGGGACAGGCGGGUUUUAGCCGCACGAAGAUUGAGCAAUAACAGGUCUGUGAUGCCCUUAGAUUUUUUGGGCCGCACGCGCGCUACACUGAAGGAUCAGCGUGUCCUCCCUGGGCCGAAAGGUCCGGGUAACCCGCUGAACCUCCUUCGUGCUAGGGAUUGGGGCUUGCAAUUGUUCCCCAUGAACGAGGAAUUCCCAGUAAGCGCGAGUCAUAAGCUCGCGUUGAUUACGUCCCUGCCCUUUGUACACACCGCCCGUCGCUACUACCGAUUGAAUGAUUUAGUGAGGCCUUCGGACUGGUACACGGCAAAGUGUUUCUGACAUUUACCGUAGUUGCUGGGAAGAUGGCCAAACUUGAUCAUUUAGAGGAAGUAAAAGUCGUAACAAGGUUUCCG